RNAcentral lists this ribosomal RNA (497 nucleotides) under uncultured bacterium. RNAcentral's name for it is "partial 16S ribosomal RNA". It matches the Rfam family "Bacterial small subunit ribosomal RNA", at positions 28 to 507 of the family's 1533-position model. The record is from RNAcentral.
GAUGAACGCUGGCGGCGUGCCUAAUACAUGCAAGUCGAGCGAACAGACGAGGAGCUUGCUCCUCUGACGUUAGCGGCGGACGGGUGAGUAACACGUGGAUAACCUACCUAUAGGACUGGGAUAACUUCGGGAAACCGGAGCUAAUACCGGAUAAUAUAUUGAACCGCAUGGUUCAAUAGUGAAAGACGGUUUUGCUGUCACUUAUAGAUGGAUCCGCGCCGCAUUAGCUAGUUGGUAAGGUAACGGCUUACCAAGGCAACGAUGCGUAGCCGACCUGAGAGGGGGAUCGGCCACACUGGAACUGAGACACGGUCCAGACUCCUACGGGAGGCAGCAGUAGGGAAUCUUCCGCAAUGGGCGAAAGCCUGACGGAGCAACGCCGCGUGAGUGAUGAAGGUCUUCGGAUCGUAAAACUCUGUUAUUAGGGAAGAACAAAUGUGUAAGUAACUAUGCACGUCUUGACGGUACCUAAUCAGAAAGCCACGGCUAACUACGUG